RNAcentral lists this ribosomal RNA (448 nucleotides) under uncultured bacterium. Its description in RNAcentral is "bacterial SSU rRNA". It matches the Rfam family "Bacterial small subunit ribosomal RNA", at positions 329 to 793 of the family's 1533-position model. The record is from RNAcentral.
UUCCAGACUCCUACGGGAGGCAGCAGUGGGGAAUAUUGCACAAUGGGGGAAACCCUGAUGCAGCGACGCCGCGUGAGUGAAGAAGUAUUUCGGUAUGUAAAGCUCUAUCAGCAGGGAAGAAGCAAGACGGUACCUGACUAAGAAGCCCCGGCUAACUACGUGCCAGCAGCCGCGGUAAUACGUAGGGGGCAAGCGUUAUCCGGAUUCACUGGGUGUAAAGGGAGCGUGGACGGCGACGCAAGUCUGGAGUGAAAGCCCGGGGCCCAACCCCGGGACUGCUCUGGAAACUGCGUCGCUGGAGUACGGGAGGGGCAGGCGGAAUUCCUGGUGUAGCGGUGAAAUGCGUAGAUAUCAGGAGGAACACCGGCGGCGAAGGCGGCCUGCUGGACCGUGACUGACGUUGAGGCUCGAGAGCGUGGGGAGCAAACAGGAUUAGAUACCCCAGUAC